GAUGAACGCUGGCGGCGUGCCUAAUACAUGCAAGUCGAGCGAACAGACGAGGAGCUUGCUCCUCUGACGUUAGCGGCGGACGGGUGAGUAACACGUGGAUAACCUACCUAUAAGACUGGGAUAACUUCGGGAAACCGGAGCUAAUACCGGAUAAUAUAUUGAACCGCAUGGUUCAAUAGUGAAAGACGGUUUUGCUGUCACUUAUAGAUGGAUCCGCGCCGCAUUAGCUAGUUGGUAAGGUAACGGCUUUCCAAGGCGACGAUGCGUAGCCGACCUGAGAGGGUGAUCGGCCACACUGGAACUGAGACACGGUCCAGACUCCUACGGGAGGCAGCAGUAGGGAAUCUUCCGCAAUGGGCGAAAGCCUGACGGAGCAACGCCGCGUGAGUGAUGAAGGUCUUCGGAUCGUAAAACUCUGUUAUUAGGGAAGAACAAAUGUGUAAGUAACUAUGCACGUCUUGACGGUACCUAAUCAGAAAGCCACGGCUAACUACGUG
This 497-nucleotide ribosomal RNA is filed under the name uncultured bacterium. RNAcentral describes it as "partial 16S ribosomal RNA". It matches the Rfam family "Bacterial small subunit ribosomal RNA", at positions 28 to 507 of the family's 1533-position model. The record is from RNAcentral.